AUGGGCUCAGCAGGGCACGGGUGGGCAUGGAGGAUGGGGAUGAACCCAAAUGGGGCAGCGAGGGCACCAGGAACUGCUGCUGGCUUCACCCUGCUGGCUUGGACUCUUUGCUGCUCCAACCCUGGCUGUGCAGGAGGAAGAUGCCGGAGGACAGCAUGUCCCGGGCACAGAACAGCUCUCAGGCCUCCAGAUUUAACUAAAUUGGGCCAUAAAUCACCCUCUGGGGAGCAGGGGGGGUACACUCAGUGCUGCCAAAGAUGGGGUAGCCGCUGGGCGCAGCCUGGUGGCCCAGGGCAUGGCCGUCCCCAGGGACCGGAGCCUGACGCCGCGGGGUCGGUGCUGGGAGCCGCCUGGGUUUAUUUCUGCUGUGGCCUCUCCGGGAGCCACAUCCUGCCGGCCACCACGGCUGGGAGACGUGCAGGAAGAUCUGCUUGGAGGCAAAACCCCGGGGGUGGACAGGGGAUGGAGGCCAUGAGCUGCUGGUGGAGAGCAGGGGAUGGAGCUGGGAGCACGGAGCUGCCGUGCGGGGAGGAGAGCGGGGGGCACCGCCUGGUGCAGCGCCGCAGGCUGGGCCCUGGGGUGCCUCGGAGGAGCUGCUGCAAUGGAAUACCUGGCAGGGCAUUUGGUCCGAGGGGGAAUUUCCACAGGAAACCUCUGCUUUCAUCCUCCCAGAUACGGCUGAAAGCAACCCUAGCGAACCCUUGGGCUCAGCAGCCAGGAAGCGUUGAAGCCCGGGCAGGAGCUCUUUGUUCCCUCGCAUCGUUCAUCCAGCUGGGGAAAAAAAAACACAAACCAAACCAAAACAAACAACAAACAGCCAGCUUUCUGCUCACGGAAAAACACGGAGAAACAACAGGCAGCGCGGGGGCCGCAACGCCACCAGGAGCCCUCCACCAGCCCCAUAAAUGCUGCUGCACUCAGGGGUCCCGUUCAGCACCCCCGGCCCAGCCGGCACCGAGGGCAGGAGCAUCUGGCCGGGGGUGUCGGGAGCGGGGGCUCAGCGGGAGCGCUCGACCCCCUCCUCGCCCCGGUGCCGCUGCGCAUCCCCGCGCUCCCCAGGUUGCCACAGAAACGGCUCCGGCUCGGCCGGCUCCUGCCAUAAAUACGCCACCGCCACGGGUCAGCCCGGUUCAGCACCGCCAACCCAGCCCACGGCGAGGCCUCGUGGAGCUGGGGGUGCCCGGUGUGGGGUGCACCCGGUGUGGGGUGCACCUNNNNNNNNNNCAUGGGGGGGAGCUGGGGCCGAGCACUGAGCUGUGCACAGAGCCCGGGGCAAAUGUCCCUGUGUCCCUCGGGCACACGGUGCCCCGUGCCAGGGAGGAGCGAGGUGCCCGGAGGAGCUGCUCCUCAGCCCGCUGGAGGUGCCCCGGGCUUUGCAAUCCAAACCUGAAGCAUUUUGGAAACCCCAACGGCACCCCAGAGGUACGGGGAUGGGGUCCCCUAGGAGGCCAGCUCCAUCGGCCGGAGGAGCAGGAACCCCGCUGGGGCAGCUGCCCCGGGGGCCGGGCUGGGCGAGGGGCAGGCUUGUGGUUUUCCUGCCUCAUUGGAGCCGCCGGAGUCAUUGCAACAGCAGUCAGGGAGCGGAGGCGCACGGCCCAGAGGCCCUGCACGUGCCCUUCUGCUCGCUCCGGGCUCACGCAGGAGCUGGGCACCCCCGGGCAGUGCUGCAGAGGGCACGGCAGGGCCGGCGCUGGCACCCCAAAACAGCCCCCAACCUCCUCCAGUACGGGGUGCGCACAGAAACCCUUUGGGGUGCAGGGAGGGGAUGCAGCAUCCCCCUAA
RNAcentral lists this long non-coding RNA (1782 nucleotides) under Anas zonorhyncha (Eastern spot-billed duck). Its description in RNAcentral is "lncRNA (ENSAZOG00000018059.1)". Lineage: Eukaryota; Metazoa; Chordata; Aves; Anseriformes; Anatidae. The record is from RNAcentral.